AGCGAACGCUGGCGGCAGGCCUAACACAUGCAAGUCGAACGAACUCUUCGGAGCUAGUGGCGGACGGGUGAGUAACACGUGGGAACGUGCCUAUUGGUUCGGAAUAACUCAGGGAAACUUGUGCUAAUACCGAAUGCGCCCUUCGGGGGAAAGAUUUAUCGCCAUUAGAGCGGCCCGCGUCUGAUUAGCUAGUUGGUGAGGUAACGGCUCACCAAGGCGACGAUCAGUAGCUGGUCUGAGAGGAUGACCAGCCACACUGGGACUGAGACACGGCCCAGACUCCUACGGGAGGCAGCAGUGGGGAAUCUUGCGCAAUGGGCGAAAGCCUGACGCAGCCAUGCCGCGUGAAUGAUGAAGGUCUUAGGAUUGUAAAAUUCUUUCACCGGGGACGAUAAUGACGGUACCCGGAGAAGAAGCCCCGGCUAACUUCGUG
Molecule: ribosomal RNA, 433 nt
Filed under: uncultured bacterium
Lineage: Bacteria
Description: partial 16S ribosomal RNA
Rfam family: Bacterial small subunit ribosomal RNA
Source: RNAcentral